Molecule: ribosomal RNA, 368 nt
Filed under: uncultured bacterium
Lineage: Bacteria
Description: bacterial SSU rRNA
Rfam family: Bacterial small subunit ribosomal RNA
Source: RNAcentral
ACGUAUGUCGCAAGCGUUAUCCGGAUUUAUUGGGCGUAAAGCGCGUCUAGGCGGUUUGGUAAGUCUGAUGUGAAAAUGCGGGGCUCAACUCCGUAUUGCGUUGGAAACUGCCAAACUAGAGUACUGGAGAGGUGGGCGGAACUACAAGUGUAGAGGUGAAAUUCGUAGAUAUUUGUAGGAAUGCCGAUGGGGAAGCCAGCCCACUGGACAGAUACUGACGCUAAAGCGCGAAAGCGUGGGUAGCAAACAGGAUUAGAUACCCUGGUAGUCCACGCCGUAAACGAUGAUUACUAGGUGUUGGGGGUCGAACCUCAGCGCCCAAGCUAACGCGAUAAGUAAUCCGCCUGGGGAGUACGUACGCAAGUAUG